This 406-nucleotide ribosomal RNA is filed under the name uncultured soil bacterium. RNAcentral's name for it is "bacterial SSU rRNA". It matches the Rfam family "Bacterial small subunit ribosomal RNA", at positions 26 to 462 of the family's 1533-position model. The record is from RNAcentral.
AGAACGAACGCUGGCGGCAUGCCUAAUACAUGCAAGUCGAACGAACUCUUCGGAGUUAGUGGCGCACGGGUGCGUAACGCGUGGGAAUCUGCCCCUUGGUUCGGAAUAACAGUUGGAAACGACUGCUAAUACCGGAUGAUGACGAAAGUCCAAAGAUUUAUCGCCAAGGGAUGAGCCCGCGUAGGAUUAGCUAGUUGGUGAGGUAAAGGCUCACCAAGGCAACGAUCCUUAGCUGGUCUGAGAGGAUGAUCAGCCACACUGGGACUGAGACACGGCCCAGACUCCUACGGGAGCAGCAGUAGGAAUAUGGACAAGUGGGCGAAAGCCUGAUCCAGCAAUGCCGCGUGAGUGAUGAAGGUCCGUUAGGUGUAAAGCUCUUUUACCGAGUAUGAUAAUGACUAGUAGU